GUACUUGCUUCGGCAGCACAUACGCUGAAAUAGGAAUGAUACCGAGACAGUCAGGAUGGCCACUGCGCAAGGGUGACAUGGACGAGCAUGAGGCGUUCCAUAUUUAA
Molecule: small nuclear RNA, 107 nt
Organism: Octodon degus (degu)
Lineage: Eukaryota; Metazoa; Chordata; Mammalia; Rodentia; Octodontidae
Source: Ensembl